RNAcentral lists this transfer RNA (72 nucleotides) under Camelus bactrianus (Bactrian camel). It matches the Rfam family "tRNA". Rfam says of the family: Transfer RNA (tRNA) molecules are approximately 80 nucleotides in length. Their secondary structure includes four short double-helical elements and three loops (D, anti-codon, and T loops). Lineage: Eukaryota; Metazoa; Chordata; Mammalia; Artiodactyla; Camelidae. The record is from Rfam by way of RNAcentral. RNAcentral also lists the same sequence under 1 other name.
GAGGGUACAGCUCAGUGGUAGAGCGUGUGCUUAGCAUGCACGAGGUCCUGGGUUCAACCCCCAGUACCUCCU